Molecule: transfer RNA, 73 nt
Filed under: Ovis aries (sheep)
Lineage: Eukaryota; Metazoa; Chordata; Mammalia; Artiodactyla; Bovidae
Rfam family: tRNA
About the family: Transfer RNA (tRNA) molecules are approximately 80 nucleotides in length. Their secondary structure includes four short double-helical elements and three loops (D, anti-codon, and T loops).
Source: Rfam by way of RNAcentral
UCCCUAGUGGUCCAGUGGUUAGGACUCUGUGCUUCCAAUGCAGGGGGCCCGGGCUCAAUCCCUGGUCAGAGAA